CUCCUCCGCCCGAUCUCAUUUUCUUCAUAUUUCUGCUGGCUUUGCCUUGAUCUGCCCUUGCCCUAGAUUUCAUUGAGGUGGGAUAAAAUCUAGAGCGGGAUAUGUAGUUUCGUUCUUAGGUUUACAGUCUCGUCUUGUUACGAUUGGAGGUGGUACAGUGUAAACCUGAGUAAACUACGGUUGUGGUAUGCUUCAUUAAUAUAUUUCCAUGAACAAGCAAUUCUACCUAGCCUUUCGCUGUUACUAGGGAUUAUAUGCAAAUGAUGUUCAGUCUUAUCUUCCUCUCGUGUCUUCCUUUUUCAGAAUUAAUGGAUGCAUGUAUGCAUCAUAUAUCUCUGUUAGUGCCAUGGUGACCUGCUUCUGCUUGCAAUAUUUUUGUUCCCAGUCUGUAUCCACAUGCAGCUCAAGCCAUGUCGAUGUGUGACUUGAUAGGAAUUCUCGAGUGGUAUAGCAUUAUUGCCAUUGUGAUGAUUCAGUGAAUGUUAUUUUGAUUAUUCUAGUCAAAGUUUAAGGACUGCAGGAUAGGUUAGGAACAUUAGUAACAUUUUUGAAAGAACUGCAGUACAGUUUAUUCUUCGGUUGUUCCCAAUUGUAUGUCUCUGUUAGAGUACUUUUCCUCCUUCUUUGGAUCCUGCUUGCUUUUAUAUGUUAAUGUUAGUUAAAUGGGUACAUUAUACUACCUGUGCUCAUGUUUAAUUGACGUGAGGUACGCAGGUCUGUAGGCUACUUUCUCCAGGUACCCACAUCAAUUUAAUCCGAACAGAGGGAGUAGAUAGCAUAGUGUUAACUGAUAUAUUUUAAAUUGAUACUAAACAACGAGAUUGCUUGAUUUUUUUGUUGACUUAUAUAUUUGAAAUUAAUAGAUAAUUGUGUUUGUAAACUGUAUGGACAGCAAUCAAGCUAGGGAUAGCAAAAUGUGUAUAACUUGAUAACUUAAGGUCUUCCUUCCAUUCACACGAAUGUUCUUGUGAAAUGUAGGGAUAGCAAAUCUACCUUCUCAGUUACGUGUAGUAAGAUUAAAUUAGUACUUUUGAAGUGAUUUUUUUAUUUGAUGUAGGUUCUGGCCUCUCAAUAGGAAAUUCUAUCACUGCAUAUUGAACACAUUUGUAUGCUAUUUGGGUUCAGUGGUUAUCUAUGCUGAUGUGGUUUAUGCUCUGUUGUUUCUGGUUAUUUUGAUAUGUGGUGUAGGUUGCAAGUUGAAGGGGAAGUGAGCUCCUAUGGCGGUGACUCCAGCGCGCUACGGUCUGAUGAACGGAGCCAAUGACAAGGGCCUGAGGUGAAGGACCUGUGAGCACCAAGGUUCUCAUUGUCAUCGCACGCCUAAGGGGUCUGCUCGACCAGAUCCUCUCCAUCUCGAACUUCCUCACCGACGCUGGCAGGAGCGCAGGGUGGAGGUGGCACCAGCCUCAAGGCUUGCUGAUCCCAUUUGCAUAUGUUGCUACAGCACAACAACCAAUGAUGUUAUUAGGAGUACCAACUGCACAAGCCCCACGUGAUAAUGAGUACCCUAUGCUAUUGAAGAAGGCAGAAGAUGGAUGAGGUUUGCUCACUUGGGAAAAUGCUAGCAGGUAAAGGUUAUGUGAACAAUACCUGGGAGAUGUUACAAACUUGCAUCACUUGUAGUACUUCUUUGCUAUGUAACGUGUCAUGUGAAACUGUGAACUUGGCUGUCAUGUUCAUGGUGUUGUGUAAUUCAGUGAGAUUAUAAGUUAGAUGUUAUCUGCUAUUUCAUCUGUAUAUAUCUGUUAAAAGGAAGUGCAAGAAAAAUAUUGUUAUCUUAUGUU
This is a non-coding RNA of Lolium perenne, 1784 nucleotides long. Lineage: Eukaryota; Viridiplantae; Streptophyta; Magnoliopsida; Poales; Poaceae. The record is from RefSeq and is a predicted model, not a curated record.